RNAcentral lists this ribosomal RNA (29 nucleotides) under Pezicula aurantiaca. Its description in RNAcentral is "partial 28S ribosomal RNA". The record is from RNAcentral. Lineage: Eukaryota; Fungi; Ascomycota; Leotiomycetes; Helotiales; Dermateaceae.
GGUUGACCUCGGAUCAGGUAGGAUACCAA